RNAcentral lists this ribosomal RNA (483 nucleotides) under uncultured bacterium. RNAcentral describes it as "partial 16S ribosomal RNA". It matches the Rfam family "Bacterial small subunit ribosomal RNA", at positions 28 to 523 of the family's 1533-position model. The record is from RNAcentral.
GACGAACGCUGGCGGCGUGCUUAACACAUGCAAGUCGAACGAUGACCAGGAGCUUGCUCCUGUGAUUAGUGGCGAACGGGUGAGUAACACGUGAGUAACCUGCCCCUGACUCUGGGAUAAGCGUUGGAAACGACGUCUAAUACUGGAUAUGAUCACUGGCCGCAUGGGCUGGUGGGGGAAAGAUUUUUUGGUUGGGGAUGGACUCGCGGCCUAUCAGCUUGUUGGUGAGGUAAUGGCUCACCAAGGCGACGACGGGUAGCCGGCCUGAGAGGGUGACCGGCCACACUGGGACUGAGACACGGCCCAGACACCUACGGGAGGCAGCAGUGGGGAAUAUUGCACAAUGGGCGCAAGCCUGAUGCAGCAACGCCGCGUGAGGGAUGACGGCCUUCGGGUUGUAAACCUCUUUUAGUAGGGAAGAAGCGAAAGUGACGGUACCUGCAGAAAAAGCACCGGCUAACUACGUGCCAGCCGCCGCGGUAA